ACGCACGCUGGCGGCGUGCCUCAUCCCUGCCAGUUGAGCGAUGAAGAUUGGCGCUUGCACCAAUUUGAAGAGCAGCGAACGGGUGAGUAACGCGUGGGGAAUCUGCCUUUGAGCGGGGGACAACAUUUGGAAACGAAUGCUAAUACCGCAUAAUAACUUUAAACAUAAGUUUUAAGUUUGAAAGAUGCAAUUGCAUCACUCAAAGAUGAUCCCGCGUUGUAUUAGCUAGUUGGUGAGGUAAAGGCUCACCAAGGCGAUGAUACAUAGCCGACCUGAGAGGGUGAUCGGCCACAUUGGGACUGAGACACGGCCCAAACUCCUACGGGAGGCAGCAGUAGGGAAUCUUCGGCAAUGGACGAAAGUCUGACCGAGCAACGCCGCGUGAGUGAAGAAGGUUUUCGGAUCGUAAAACUCUGUUGGUAGAGAAGAACGUUGGUGAGAGUGGAAAGCUCAUCAAGUGACGGUAACUACCCAGAAAGGGACGGCUAACUACGUG
Molecule: ribosomal RNA, 496 nt
Filed under: uncultured bacterium
Lineage: Bacteria
Description: partial 16S ribosomal RNA
Rfam family: Bacterial small subunit ribosomal RNA
Source: RNAcentral